RNAcentral lists this ribosomal RNA (96 nucleotides) under Acanthosepion pharaonis. The record is from RNAcentral. Lineage: Eukaryota; Metazoa; Mollusca; Cephalopoda; Sepiida; Sepiidae.
GUGAAAACACGGUUCUCGAUUCGAUCACCGAAGUUAAGCAUCGUAGGGCCAGGUCAGUACUUAGAUGGGGGGACCGAGAACACCUGGUACUGUAAG